Glycine soja is the source of this 965-nucleotide long non-coding RNA. RefSeq lists it as uncharacterized. The record is from RefSeq and is a predicted model, not a curated record. The transcript has 2 exons. Lineage: Eukaryota; Viridiplantae; Streptophyta; Magnoliopsida; Fabales; Fabaceae.
UCUCUACUUUUACAUGGGAUCUCUUCUGACCUCUGUUGGCUGGCAUGGCUUUAUAUAUAAUUUUCAUGUGAGAAAACACCAAGAUGAUCCAACCUAGUUCUUGAGGAUCGAGCUUUCUUGCCGUGGAAUCCGGGGACAGGUCAAAGGAGAAUGCUGAAACACCCUUUCAUUGAAUAUCAAUAAAUAUUAUCAACUAUCGACAUCGUGUCAGCGUGAAUUUUCGAAACCUCAAUUCUUUGUUAUAUAAAAGACACUAUAACUAGCUACUCCUUUCUACUUUGCCAUAUCAGUUAUCACAUAUAUAUUAUAUAGUCUAUAGAGCUUUGGAAUAGGCUAGAUAGGUCCAAUAAUAUUACAAAUAUCCAAUGAGACUAUUGAUGCCUGCUGCUUUGUUUCUAUUUCUGAUGUUUAGCUUCAAUGUGAUAUGUGUUUUUCAAGGGGAAGCACUUAUCAGCGAAGGAGUUGUGGCUUCUGGGAGUUCUGCUACUAUUGCAGGUGGCUGUGAAAAGCAAAGGGGUGAAUGCAAGGAAGAAAGUGGUGAGUCACAAGAAAGUGUUUUCGAGAAUGAAGACUAUGUCUAUACCAACUCCUUGCCUUAGAUGAUGCUCUAGUUUUGCUUCGUCGGUUGUCUUGUGUUAACGUUGUUGAAUCCAUUGCAGCUUUUCUAAAUCCAAAGCUAGCCACAUUGGCGAUUGUAAAGGAUCUAUAACUUUUAUUUAUUGUUUACUGUUUUAUAACAUUAGCUGAUAAUUGAUCGUCCCCAUGAUCACAAAGACACACAAGGAUUAAUCAUGGAAGAAUUCUAAGUGAUGAAGUUGUUUCUUUGACUGUUACACACUUCUUGCAGUUGUGUUGUUUGAUUUGUAAAGCUAAAUCUGUCUUCUCAAUUGGGUCUGGCUCAUCAAAUAGCGAGAAAUGCUUGCAACAUUGUUCAUUAUUAAAUAAAUUUUUUAAGUAUGAGUGUA